CAGUCGCCGCGGUAAUACGUAGGUGGCAAGCGUUGUCCGGAAUUAUUGGGCGUAAAGGGCUCGCAGGCGGUUUCUUAAGUCUGAUGUGAAAGCCCCCGGCUCAACCGGGGAGGGUCAUUGGAAACUGGGAAACUUGAGUGCAGAAGAGGAGAGUGGAAUUCCACGAGUAGCGGUGAAAUGCGUAGAGAUGUGGAGGAACACCUGUGGCGAAGGCGACUCUCUGGUCUGUAACUGACGCUGAGGAGCGAAAGCGUGGGGAGCGAACAGGAUUAGAUACCCCGGUAGUCCCUGUCUCUUAUAC
This 301-nucleotide ribosomal RNA is filed under the name uncultured bacterium. RNAcentral describes it as "partial 16S ribosomal RNA". It matches the Rfam family "Bacterial small subunit ribosomal RNA", at positions 509 to 807 of the family's 1533-position model. The record is from RNAcentral.